UAUGAGUUAACAGCACUACUAAACCUUCAUCACGGGGUACAGGGGAGAGUUGGAGGUGAGCGCCAUCUAUGAGUUAACAGCACUACUAAACCUUCAUCACGGGGUACAGGGGAGAGUUUCUCGUCUGGUGGUUCUUGGAUCCAUCACCAGCUGGAGCCACAAGACAGAGGAAGAAGGUGGAGGACGGACCAAGUGUACCACGAUCUGACAGCCCCGAAAAUAUCGGCCUGAGGCAUCGGCACUUUCUCCAUCACUGCCUAAAGUGGACCUGAACCUUUGGACCUGAUGUGAACUAGAAUGAAGUUGGCUGGACCUCAAGUACUCUGUGGAAGCUUCAAGGACCAACAACACAUCUCGGUAUGACAAGUCGAGACUCGACCGUACAGACCCGUCCGGUCUCGCACACGACGCCGUUAACGGCAAACGGAGAAACGCCGCCGGGAGGCACUUUCUCCAUCACUGCCUACAGUGGACCUGAUGUGAACUAGAAUGAAGUUGGCUGGACAUAAAGAUUACUGGACCUCAAGUACUCUGUGGUAUUGUAUUUAAUAUUGUUGUGGUACUUUGAAUGUUAGGAAAGUUCUACAGGCAUUCCCCAGUUUAUAAGAGUACUGUGUCUUACAAAAGCCUAUAGUAAAUCGAAUCAAUAUUCCUAUAGACUCGCAUUAUAAAAGCCAAGAUACUUUUCUACAUUGAAAACAGUUCCCCCCCAAAUGAUGUACGGUCCCCCAAAAAGUAUCGAUUGAAUUUUCUAGAUGUAAAAUUUGAAACUCUAGAUGAAAUUCUUUGCUGUUAUCCCCAGUGCAUCGGCAUAAGUUGGUACAGGUACAGCCGUUCACUAUAUGAGCAAUAGCCAU
This is a long non-coding RNA of Homarus americanus (American lobster), 857 nucleotides long. RefSeq lists it as uncharacterized. The record is from RefSeq and is a predicted model, not a curated record. Lineage: Eukaryota; Metazoa; Arthropoda; Malacostraca; Decapoda; Nephropidae. The transcript has 4 exons.